GUUGUCGAGUCGCGGCGAGGCCGGCGCACCGCAGCCAUGAUGGAGGCUGAUGUGAAUCCGAAGGCCUAUCCCCUCGCAGAUGCCCACCUUACCAAGAAGCUGCUGGACCUUGUUCCGCAGUCGUGUAACUACAAGCAGCUUCGGAAAGGAGCCAAUGAAGCAACCAAAACCCUCAACAGAGGCAUCUCUGAGUUCAUUGUGAUGGCAGCAGACGCUGAGCCCUUGGAGAUCAUCCUGCACCUCCCUCUGCUGUGUGAAGACAAGAAUGUCCCCUACGUAUUUGUGUGCUCCAAGCAGGCUUUAGGACAGGCCUGUGGCAUCUCCAGGCCAGUCAUCGCCUGUUCUGUUACCAUCAAAGAAGGCUCUCAACUAAAACAGCAGAUCCAG
This is an RNA transcript of Mastomys coucha (southern multimammate mouse), 387 nucleotides long. It is a transcript of the gene named NHP2-like protein 1 pseudogene, with no coding region annotated. The transcript has a single exon. The record is from RefSeq and is a predicted model, not a curated record. Lineage: Eukaryota; Metazoa; Chordata; Mammalia; Rodentia; Muridae.